CGUAAUCCGGGUUGCGGACAGUGUCUGGUGGGUAGUUUGACUGGGGCGGUCUCCUCCUAAAGAGUAACGGAGGAGCACGAAGGUUGGCUAAUCCUGGUCGGACAUCAGGAGGUUAGUGCAAUGGCAUAAGCCAGCUUGACUGCGAGCGUGACGGCGCGAGCAGGUGCGAAAGCAGGUCAUAGUGAUCCGGUGGUUCUGAAUGGAAGGGCCAUCGCUCAACGGAUAAAAGGUACUCCGGGGAUAACAGGCUGAUACCGCCCAAGAGUUCAUAUCGACGGCGGUGUUUGGCACCUCGAUGUCGGCUCAUCACAUCCUGGGGCUGAAGUAGGUCCCAAGGGUAUGGCUGUUCGCCAUUUAAAGUGGUACGCGAGCUGGGUUUAGAACGUCGUGAGACAGUUCGGUCCCUAUCUGCCGUGGGCGCUGGAGAACUGAGGGGGGCUGCUCCUAGUACGAGAGGACCGGAGUGGACGCAUCACUGGUGUUCGGGUUGUCAUGCCAAUGGCACUGCCCGGUAGCUAAAUGCGGAAGAGAUAAGUGCUGAAAGCAUCUAAGCACGAAACUUGCCCCGAGAUGAGUUCUCCCUGAGACUUAGAGUCUCCUGAAGGAACGUUGAAGACGACGACGUUGAUAGGCCGGGUGUGUAAGCGCAGCGAUGCGUUGAGCUAACCGGUACUAAUGAACCGUGAGGCUUAACCUUACAACGCCGAAG
RNAcentral lists this ribosomal RNA (709 nucleotides) under Salmonella enterica subsp. enterica serovar Infantis. RNAcentral's name for it is "partial 23S ribosomal RNA". It matches the Rfam family "Bacterial large subunit ribosomal RNA", at positions 2234 to 2925 of the family's 2925-position model. Lineage: Bacteria; Pseudomonadati; Pseudomonadota; Gammaproteobacteria; Enterobacterales; Enterobacteriaceae. The record is from RNAcentral. RNAcentral also lists the same sequence under 3 other names.